This 421-nucleotide ribosomal RNA is filed under the name uncultured bacterium. RNAcentral describes it as "partial 16S ribosomal RNA". It matches the Rfam family "Bacterial small subunit ribosomal RNA", at positions 360 to 773 of the family's 1533-position model. The record is from RNAcentral.
AAUAUUGGACAAUGGGGGCAACCCUGAUCCAGCCAUGCCGCUUGUGUGAAGAAGGUCUUCUGUUUGUAAAGCACUUUAAGUUGGGAGGAAGGGCUUUAGGUUAAUACCCUGAAGUUUUGACGUUACCAACAGAUUAAGCACCGGCUAACUCUGUUCCAGCAGCCGCGGUAAUACAGAGGGUGCAAGCGAUAAUCGGAAUUACUGUGCGUAAAGCGCGCGUAGGUGGUUCAGUAAGAUGGGAGUGAAAGCCCCAGGCUUAACCUGGGAACUGCUUUCAUAACUGCUGGGCUAGAGUACGGUAGAGGGUAGUGGAAUUUCCUGUGUAGCGGUGAAAUGCGUAGAUAUAGGAAGGAACACCAGUGGCGAAGGCGACUACCUGGACUGAUACUGACACUGAGGUGCGAAAGCGUGGGGAGCAAAC